RNAcentral lists this ribosomal RNA (407 nucleotides) under uncultured bacterium. Its description in RNAcentral is "partial 16S ribosomal RNA". It matches the Rfam family "Bacterial small subunit ribosomal RNA", at positions 30 to 526 of the family's 1533-position model. The record is from RNAcentral.
AUUGAACGCUAGCGGGAUGCCUUACACAUGCAAGUCGAACGGAGUGGCGAACGGGUGAGUAAUGUAUCGGAACGUGCCCAGUAGAGGGGGAUAACUACGCGAAAGCGUAGCUAAUCCCGCAUACUAUUGGAGCGGCCGAUAUCGGAUUAGCUAGUUGGUGGGGUAACGGCUACCCAAGGCGACGAUCCGUAGCUGGUUUGAGAGGACGACCAGCCACACUGGGACUGGGACACGGCCCAGAUUCCUACGGGAGGCAGCAGGGGGGAAUUUUGGACAAUGGGGGAAAGCCUGAUGCAGCCAUCCCGCGUGUGCGAUGAAGGCCUUCGGGUUGUAAAGCACUUUUAGCAGGAAAGCGGUACCUGCAGAAUAAGCACCGGCUAACUACGUGCCAGCAGCCGCGGUAAUUC